This 1631-nucleotide ribosomal RNA is filed under the name human metagenome. RNAcentral's name for it is "bacterial LSU rRNA". It matches the Rfam family "Bacterial large subunit ribosomal RNA", at positions 508 to 2148 of the family's 2925-position model. The record is from RNAcentral.
GGAAAGGUGAAAAGAACCCCGAACAGGGGAGUGAAAUAGAACCUGAAACCAUACGCUUACAACCUGUCGGAGCGGCUUCGUGCCGUGACGGCGUGCCUAUUGAAUAAUGAGCCUACGAGUUACUAAUCACUGGCGAGGUUAAGUGCACGGAUGCACGGAGCCGAAGCGAAAGCGAGUCUUAAUAGGGCGUUUAGUCAGUGGUUGUAGACGCGAAACCUUGCGAUCUACCCUUGAGCAGGUUGAAGGUUGGGUAAAACCAACUGGAGGACCGAACGAAUAAGCGUUGAAAAGCUUCUCGAUGACUUGAGGGUAGGGGUGAAAGGCUAAUCAAGCUGGGAAAUAGCUCGUACUCCCCGAAAUGCCUUUUGGGGCAGCGUUGUAAUAAAGAGUCUACUGGAGGUAGAGCUACUGAUUGGAUGCGGGGGCUUCACCGCCUACCAAAUCCUGACAAACUCCGAAUGCCAGUAGUAUGAUUUACAGCAGUGAGUGACUGGGUGCUAAUGUCCAGUCGCAAAAGAGGAACAACUCAGACCAGCAACUAAGGUCCCGAAGAAUAUGCUAAGUUGAUCUAACGAUGUUUUGUUGCAGAGACAGCUAGGAUGUUAGCUUGGAAGCAGCUAUUCAUUCAAAGAGUGCGUAACAGCUCACUAGUCGAGCGACAGAGCGUGGAUAAUAAACGGGCAUCAAGCAUAUCACCGAAGUUCUGGGCGCGAGAGCGCGGUAGGGGAGCAUUCCAUUCAGCGUCGAAGCAGUUUCGUGAGGAAUUGUGGAGCGUAUGGAAAAGCAAAUGUAGGCAUGAGUAACGAUAAUGCGGGAGAGUAACCCGCACACCGCAAGACCAAGGUUUCCUGAUCAACGCUAAUCGGAUCAGGGUUAGUCGGGUCCUAAGGGUAAGCCGAACGGCGAUCUCGAUGGAUAAUCGGUUAAUAUUCCGAUACUGACAUAUACCUCGAUGGAGAGACGAAGGAACGUAAGUGCCGCCACCUGACGGAAUAGGUGGUUAAAGGGCGUAGGUAUAGGGGCAGAUUAAGAGUUAGUCCUUGCUGAAACCUGACAGUACAGAGAGCCUACGGGCAAUUUGAUAGUGCACCCAAGUCGACUUCCGAGAAAAUCUUCUAAGUUAUAGUAUAUGUCACCCGUACCGUAAACCGACACAGGUGGUCGAGGAGAGUAUCCUAAGGUGCUCGAGUGAAUCACGGUUAAGGAACUAGGCAAAUUAACCCCGUAACUUCGGGAAAAGGGGUCCCUAUGAAAGUAGGGCGCAGCGAAGAGGUCCAGGCGACUGUUUAUCAAAAACACAGGGCUCUGCAAAUUCGAAAGAAGAAGUAUAGGGCCUGACACCUGCCCGGUGCUGGAAGGUUAAGAGGGGAUGUCAUCGCAAGAGAAGCAUUGAAUCGAAGCCCCAGUAAACGGCGGCCGUAACUAUAACGGUCCUAAGGUAGCGAAAUUCCUUGUCGGGUAAGUUCCGACCUGCACGAAUGGUGUAACGAUCUGGACACUGUCUCAACCGUGAGCUCGGUGAAAUUGUAGUCCCGGUGAUGAUGCCGGGUACCCGCAACGGGACGAAAAGACCCCGUGAACCUUUACUAUAGCUUAACGCUGAAUUUGGGUACACAAUGUGUAGGAUAGGC